Non-coding RNA from Chiloscyllium plagiosum (whitespotted bambooshark), 266 nucleotides. The record is from RefSeq and is a predicted model, not a curated record. Lineage: Eukaryota; Metazoa; Chordata; Chondrichthyes; Orectolobiformes; Hemiscylliidae.
AACUCAGCAGCUACAAAAGGGGUAGAGCAAGCCACAGAGUUCAGGAAAGAUAGCACCUUAUAUUUAUAACACACUUUACGUUUUCAGGUAACAGCUUGAAGAAAUGCUUUUGAAGCUGAGUGCAAGCGUGCCAACAGAGACUGUUAAAUGGAGAGCAUCAUGUGUUGCAGGACCCCAACACGCUGAGAAGCUGUUUCCUUUUCAACACGCCGGGACCAUUUGAAGCCAGUUCCAAGGCAUUACUGAAAAUAAAAUCUAAAACACAA